GGAGAGGUGGCAGAGUGGUCGAUCGCGCUACCUUGGAAAGGUAGUAUACGGGUAACCGUAUCCAGGGUUCGAAUCCCUGUCUCUCCGCCA
This 90-nucleotide transfer RNA is filed under the name Gammaproteobacteria bacterium. Its description in RNAcentral is "tRNA-Ser". It matches the Rfam family "tRNA". Rfam says of the family: Transfer RNA (tRNA) molecules are approximately 80 nucleotides in length. Their secondary structure includes four short double-helical elements and three loops (D, anti-codon, and T loops). The record is from RNAcentral. Lineage: Bacteria; Pseudomonadati; Pseudomonadota; Gammaproteobacteria.